Molecule: long non-coding RNA, 784 nt
Filed under: Sorghum bicolor (sorghum)
Lineage: Eukaryota; Viridiplantae; Streptophyta; Magnoliopsida; Poales; Poaceae
Description: long non-coding RNA (SBIC_LNC015313)
Source: RNAcentral
AUCACUUCACUGCGACAACAACCUAAAUACAUAGUUCACAUUCCAUUCAUUCCACGAUUAACUAAAGCAACCAAAAUACAGACCAUUACACAAAGACCACAAACACAAACAAUGACAAAAGUCUUAAGCAACACACAAAUCUUAUUUGGACUUGGCAUAACCCAUUUCUCUUCAUUGUGCUGCACUUGUCUCCCCACUGUCACUUCAUGAGUAGCAAUAGCAACCGGCCAACCAACAUCCCGAGUAACACUAGCUCGCGUGCCAUUCUGCAUUCUCUCUUCUCUCAUGUCUCUAGAUUAUGAACCCUAAUGCCACGCUUGUUCCUCAAGAAUGCCACAUAUAGUCUCUGUUCCACAGAUAGAAGCCACAUCGAGUCGAUCUGUUCCUUCUUCAAAACUGCAAAGUUAAUCAAUCAAAAAGCACAAAAUUUGUAGCACCUUUACCAGAGCUCCACACACCUACCUUUUGAUUUGGACAAGUGAACAAGAUCAUGUUCGGGUUAUCGUUGGUCUAGGAUGUGAGAUCCACCACCUUCCUCCAUUCGUAGUCAGGGCAAAAUAUGAGUGGAAUGUUAGGCCUUUCACAGCACUAACUCAAUGACGAAUUGGAUGGGCUCAAAACCAUGGCUGGGAAUCAAGCAAAGGGGUGGAGGGACCAGACAAAGAGACAAGAGAAUGCGAAAGAGAGAAAUAAAAAGGGCAGGAGUGCCUCAAAUUAAUGACACCCAAAUUGGCAGGAACCGAGACACAAAUUCCCGCCAAAAUGACCUAGUACCCGACAUCAA